This 65-nucleotide transfer RNA is filed under the name Ictidomys tridecemlineatus (thirteen-lined ground squirrel). Its description in RNAcentral is "Spermophilus tridecemlineatus (thirteen-lined ground squirrel) tRNA". It matches the Rfam family "tRNA". Rfam says of the family: Transfer RNA (tRNA) molecules are approximately 80 nucleotides in length. Their secondary structure includes four short double-helical elements and three loops (D, anti-codon, and T loops). The record is from Rfam by way of RNAcentral. Lineage: Eukaryota; Metazoa; Chordata; Mammalia; Rodentia; Sciuridae.
AAUGUAGCUCAGUGGUAGAGUGCUUGCCUAGCACACAUGAGGCCUUGGGUUCAAUUCCCCAUAUU